This 361-nucleotide ribosomal RNA is filed under the name Austrolittorina unifasciata. RNAcentral's name for it is "partial 12S ribosomal RNA". Lineage: Eukaryota; Metazoa; Mollusca; Gastropoda; Littorinimorpha; Littorinidae. The record is from RNAcentral.
UCUUAGACAUAAAUAAACCUCUCGUUUACCAGAGUACUACGAGCUAUUAACUUAAAACUCAAAGAGCUUGGCGGUGCUUUAGACUUUUCAGGGGAACCUGUCUCAUAAUCGACAAUCCACGAACUUACCUCACCUUUUCUUGCAACCAGUAUGUAUACCGUCGUCGGCAGGUAACUUUUUAAAAUACAGAAGUUAGCAAACAAAACCUUUUCGUUUACACGUCAGAUCAAGGUGCAACCUAUGAAAAGGAGAUGAUGGGUUACAAUUAAAACUUAUAAUUACGAACAUUAACUUUUAAAAGUUUUUUGAAGGAGGACUUGAAAGUAAAAUUUAGCAAUUAAAUUUUUUGAAUUAGGCUCUG